RNAcentral lists this ribosomal RNA (343 nucleotides) under uncultured Streptococcus sp. RNAcentral describes it as "bacterial SSU rRNA". It matches the Rfam family "Bacterial small subunit ribosomal RNA", at positions 1039 to 1382 of the family's 1533-position model. Lineage: Bacteria; Bacillati; Bacillota; Bacilli; Lactobacillales; Streptococcaceae. The record is from RNAcentral.
UGGUGCAUGGUUGUCGGUCAGCUCGUGUCGUGAGAUGUUGGGUUAAGUCCCGCAACGAGCGCAACCCCUAUUGUUAGUUGCCAUCAUUCAGUUGGGCACUCUAGCGAGACUGCCGGUAAUAAACCGGAGGAAGGUGGGGAUGACGUCAAAUCAUCAUGCCCCUUAUGACCUGGGCUACACACGUGCUACAAUGGUUGGUACAACGAGUUGCGAGUCGGUGACGGCGAGCUAAUCUCUUAAAGCCAAUCUCAGUUCGGAUUGUAGGCUGCAACUCGCCUACAUGAAGUCGGAAUCGCUAGUAAUCGCGGAUCAGCACGCCGCGAUGAAUACGUUCCCGGGCCUU